GCGGAAGUGGCGGAAUUGGUAGACGCACCAGAUUUAGGUUCUGGCGCUGUAAGGUGUGAGAGUUCAAGUCUCUCCUUCCGCACCA
RNAcentral lists this transfer RNA (85 nucleotides) under Vibrio parahaemolyticus. Its description in RNAcentral is "tRNA-Leu". It matches the Rfam family "tRNA". From Rfam's summary of the family: Transfer RNA (tRNA) molecules are approximately 80 nucleotides in length. Their secondary structure includes four short double-helical elements and three loops (D, anti-codon, and T loops). Further hydrogen bonds mediate the characteristic L-shaped molecular structure. tRNAs have two regions of fundamental functional importance: the anti-codon, which is responsible for specific mRNA codon recognition, and the 3' end, to which the tRNAs corresponding amino acid is attached (by aminoacyl-tRNA synthetases). tRNAs cope with the degeneracy of the genetic code in two manners: having more than one tRNA (with a specific anti-codon) for a particular amino acid; and 'wobble' base-pairing, i.e. permitting non-standard base-pairing at the 3rd anti-codon position. Lineage: Bacteria; Pseudomonadati; Pseudomonadota; Gammaproteobacteria; Vibrionales; Vibrionaceae. The record is from RNAcentral.